RNAcentral lists this unclassified non-coding RNA (125 nucleotides) under Citrobacter rodentium ICC168. Lineage: Bacteria; Pseudomonadati; Pseudomonadota; Gammaproteobacteria; Enterobacterales; Enterobacteriaceae. The record is from RNAcentral.
GCGCCGUCAUUUGGGGAGUAGCCGAUUUCCGGACUGCGGAAAUGUACGUGUCAACAUACUCGUUGCAAAACGUGGCGCGUACGGACUAACAAUCAGGUUAGUCAGGCGAGACCAUAGGCACAUCA